Non-coding RNA from Phascolarctos cinereus (koala), 952 nucleotides. The record is from RefSeq and is a predicted model, not a curated record. Lineage: Eukaryota; Metazoa; Chordata; Mammalia; Diprotodontia; Phascolarctidae.
UAUACUCAAUGACUACAACAACGUAAAUGGAAAGAACGAGCACAAAAACAAAGAAACUAAAUGCUAUGAACUUCUAAUGACCAAGAAACUUGACCUUGGAAAAGAGGCAAAUGAUACUGGGUUAGAAGAAUGAUAUUGAAGAUGGCUAUAUUCUGAGCUUUGAAAGAUGAGCAGUGAACCAUCAGGAAUUGUGAUAAGGGGGUCCAUACCAGCCUCCAAGUUCCAUGUCAAAAUAAAAGUGGUGUCCCUUGUAUAGAGAAAUGACGUCACUGGCCCUUUCAUUAGAAGGUACCCUUCAGGCUGCAUUCCAGUGGAUUUGCUCAGAAUCUUUUCACCCUGACCUUCUUGUGCCAAGACCUGACAGCUGUGAGUGUUUCCCUGAUGGCUGAGUAUCCCCUGACAUGAGGACUCAGGUGCAAUGGGGAGGGAAGGAUGCCUUUCACCAAAAACUUCUGACUUAUGCCUAAACCCAGGGAAACCCUGGUAAUAUUAGCACAUGGCUCAUUUUGCUCUCAUGCAAAUACUCAGUUUAAUCAGCCAUCAAAUAUAGAAUAGAUGUGAUUUAACCUAUCCAUUGAAACAAAGAAAAAUGACCAAAGACCUCAUACCUAAGUCCAUCAAUAGUUAAGAUAAUGAUCCUUCAGAAGUGAUGAACUCUGGGUGCAGAUUGAAGCAUGGUUUUUUUUUCACUUUAAAAAGAAAGAAUGAAAAUGAUCUUUCCUAUUGGGGGCAUCUACCAGAGGUAGAGGGAGUGGUCCUCAUCAUUACCAGGUGACCUAUCCAGUCCAUAUGAUUCAAAAUACCAGCAAAAAGCAAGCUCCAUAUAUUUACUAUUCUUUGGCUCUGAGCUUCAUUGAUCCUUAAUGCUUACAGUUCCCUGCUUUAUCAGUCUCUUUCCCCCUUCCUUCAUCUCCUAUUCUUUCCCUCCUUCACACUCAUCUCUUCCUUUCUC